GGGGAUGUAAAGGUUUCGACGUGUACAGUUGUAUCAUGAACAGCGAGCCGGGGUUUCAUCUGCCCGUAAAUCGGUGAACCUUUAAAUUAAACGCAAAAGAAAACAAUUUUGCUUUAGCUGCCUAAGGGCAACUAUCGUCUCUUGCCGCUGAUCCCGCGUGCGGUUUGCAGGCGUCACUCAGCGGGAUACCGAGCGGCCGGGCCCGACGGCCGUUGCGGGAACCCACCGGGCUGGAUCGGUUCGGUUUGUCCUUGUACGAAAACCGAUCGAAACACUGAACAAGGUCUGCGCUCGGAGAGGUUCAUGGGGCAGUGUGUACGGACAGGAGUUCGACUCUCCUCAUCUCCACCA
This is a non-coding RNA of 351 nucleotides. It matches the Rfam family "transfer-messenger RNA". Rfam says of the family: Bacterial tmRNA, also known as 10Sa RNA or SsrA, is named for its dual tRNA and mRNA-like properties. Its role is to liberate the mRNA from a stalled ribosome. The record is from Rfam.